UACGGAGGGGGCUAGCGUUGUUCGGAAUUACUGGGCGUAAAGCGCACGUAGGCGGCGAUCUAAGUCAGAGGUGAAAGCCCGGGGCUCCGAACCCGGAAUAGUCCUUUGAGACGUGGUAUUGCUAGAACGUCCGGGAGAGGUGAGUGGAACUUCCGAGUGUAGAGGUAGAAAUUCGUAGAUAUUCGGAAGAACACCAGUGGCGAAGGCGGCUCACUGG
Molecule: ribosomal RNA, 217 nt
Filed under: uncultured bacterium
Lineage: Bacteria
Description: partial 16S ribosomal RNA
Rfam family: Bacterial small subunit ribosomal RNA
Source: RNAcentral